GGAUUGUGGCUAAGUGGUAGAGCGCUCGCCUAGCACGUGCAAGGCCCUGGGUUCGAUCCUCAGUACCA
This 68-nucleotide transfer RNA is filed under the name Marmota monax (woodchuck). RNAcentral describes it as "tRNA.Ala". Lineage: Eukaryota; Metazoa; Chordata; Mammalia; Rodentia; Sciuridae. The record is from RNAcentral.